AGGGCACCACCAGGAGUGGAGCCUGCGGCUUAAUUUGACUCAACACGGGAAAACUCACCCGGCCCGGACACUGGAAGGAUUGACAGAUUGAGAGCUCUUUCUUGAUUCAGUGGGUGGUGGUGCAUGGCCGUUCUUAGUUGGUGGAGUGAUUUGUCUGGUUAAUUCCGAUAACGAACGAGACUCUAGCCUACUAAAUAGAUCGUCGGCUUACAAACGCCGACGAGACUUCUUAGAGGGACAGGCGGUGAUUCAACCGCACGAAACAGAGCAAUAACAGGUCUGUGAUGCCCUUAGAUGUCCGGGGCCGCACGCGCGCUACACUGAAGUGAUCAGUGUGCUUUUGUCAACCUACUCUGUCAAGAGUGGGGAACCCAAUGAACCUUCUUCGUGAUUGGGAUAGGGGAUUGUAAUUAUUCCCCUUGAACGAGGAAUUCCCAGUAAGCGCGAGUCAUAAGCUCGCGUUGAUUACGUCCCUGCCCUUUGUACACACCGCCCGUCGCUACUACCGAUUGAAUGUUU
RNAcentral lists this ribosomal RNA (519 nucleotides) under uncultured eukaryote. RNAcentral describes it as "SSU rRNA". It matches the Rfam family "Eukaryotic small subunit ribosomal RNA", at positions 1161 to 1698 of the family's 1831-position model. The record is from RNAcentral.